UGUGUGGUCUCUUCAGCAUAGCAACAGCAGCGUAGCUGAACAUCUUACGGAUGGCCCAGGGCUCCAAAGGCUCGUUUCCUAAGUGAGAGAGAGCCUGGCUGAAGCUGUAUUACCAUUCAUUCUCCAGCCUCCGAAGUCUCAAAGCAUCACUUCCACCAUACUCUAACUGUCAAGACAAACACAAAGGCCCAGAAACUGCCAGACUGUCUUCUGAAGUGGCUAUAAUAUUUACACUCCCAUCAGCAGUGUAGAAGGGGUCUCACUAUGUUGUCUGGAGUGCUGUGGUGGAGUGGAGUGGCUAUUCACAGAGCCUGUUCUGCUGGGACACAGAAUCACUUGCUCCAUCUCAUACAUUGAUGAUGAUUAAUUUGUAUGUGUACCUUCCAAAAAAGAUGGUUGUGUUUGAAUGGAGGCCUUCUGGACAGGAAAAUAUGGAGAGUGCGUGCUUUGGAUUCAAGACUGGGAAUGAGGGGACCAGAAACCUAUUCUGUGGCUGUUUCUUGUUAGGACUUUCCUAAGCCUCUGGAAAAGUGCAAAGUACAAUUAACAUUUGAGUCUGUCUGAGUCAUGAAGAAAUGGAGAUUACUGAAAAUAAUUCAUUUUGGUAUCUUCUUACAUCCUGAGAGACUAAUCUUUCCAAGUUCAUCUGAGGCUCCUCUUCUCCAUGACAACCUCAUCCAGGGAUUUCUUCCUGUCCUGGUGUUUUAUGACAUAAUCACAUCCUUCCUGAGAUAAUGAGCACACAAUUGCCUGGAUACCUGAAGGAAUGGAGACAGCGGCAGAAAACACUGCAGAGAGGUGGAAACAUCCGUUAAUAUUUUAAAAUCCCAUUACUGCUACCAACAAUAAUAAUGGAUGCAUAGAAAUAGAUCUGGAUUAGCUGAGCUUGAAACAGUCCAUCUCACACACACACAAAAGAAUUUCAGGUAAUGAAGAAAAGAAAAGGAAAAAAAUAACACAUGGCCUCUGUAACAUUGUUGCUUUUGAACCUUAUUGGAUUUGUGGCAAACUGGGUGCUUUUGGGACAUGAGUCUCCUACCACUCACCUGCCUCUGAGCUCUCCUCUGAGGCCGGUCACUGCCCAGAAGGGAUGCACCUGUCUUCUGUCCUGUGGUCUCUGGGUAGCCCCUGGGUCAGCAUUUUGGGUGCUAGCAUCUGAUGCAACUGCUACAGUUGCUGAUGAGAAAGUAGCUACCCUCCUCCACUCCACCCCUGCCGCCCAGGCCCUGCCACUCCUGCUAACCUGUCAGGCUACAUUUUCAAUUACUGGCUUUGAAAAAUGUCCAGGUGGAUUAAAUCAAUGAAUGCGAUGAGCUGAACACAA
This 1324-nucleotide long non-coding RNA is filed under the name Homo sapiens (human). Its description in RNAcentral is "long intergenic non-protein coding RNA 635". The record is from RNAcentral. Lineage: Eukaryota; Metazoa; Chordata; Mammalia; Primates; Hominidae.